This 627-nucleotide long non-coding RNA is filed under the name Trifolium pratense (red clover). RNAcentral describes it as "long non-coding RNA (TPRA_LNC009103)". The record is from RNAcentral. Lineage: Eukaryota; Viridiplantae; Streptophyta; Magnoliopsida; Fabales; Fabaceae.
GUCGAUUUAGUAAGUUUUUCGUUUUUAAAUCGGGUUUCGAACCGAUUUAAAAUAUUUUAUUAAAUCUGGUUGCCCGAUUUCAAAGAGUUUAUUAAAUCGGUUUGCCCGAUUUAAAAAAUGUUAAAAAAGUCAUUGGAAGUUUUUAAAUCUAUUUGAUCCGAUUUAAAAUCCAAAAUUAAAUCGACUGAACCGAUUUAGAAAACGUUAUUUUAAAUCGGUUCAUAACUCACCCGAUUUAAAUUAUAUUAAUUUUUUUCUUCUACUAUUGUUUCUCGAGGACCAUACACCAAAAUUUAUUUAAUCCAAAAAUCCAAAAUCAUCCAUUAAUAACAUAAAGUUACAAAAUUAUACUUCUACACUAAAAUCAUUAUACUAUAAUAAUAGAGUAUCAUACACCUAAUAGCAUAAAUUAUACUUGUAUAUACUAAAAUCAUUCCAUAAAGUUAAAAUCAUAUACCUAGAAUUAUCAAUUAUCAAUUAUAAACCAUAAAAGUUACAAAUUUAUACUUGUAACCUCGAUUCCUUCUAUUUGUAUGCUUAACUUUGUCUCCUCCUUUAACAGUUAACUCAUAAGUUGGUUUCGGGAGACCAUUCUUAAAUCGCUGGGUUGAAUCAAUCCUCUCCAUA